CUAAAGCAGGUGCCCAGUAUUUGCUUAAUAAACAACUUUUACAACACCUGCUGACAACAGUCAUUUCUAUUUCCUGGUUCCCUGCAGUACACCACAAAAAAUUAUACUGCUAAUUAGAUGUUAUCCUAUGCUAUGGUUUGUUCCCACCAAAACCCAUGUUGAUCUGCCACGGAAACCACACUGAGAGGUGGUGGAAGCUUUAAGAGGAAACAAGAGUACUACUGCUUCAUAGGUUGCAUGCAUGAAGGCAUUAACACAGCAGGACUCAAACUAAACAGCACCUGCUUGCAAGGUUGGCACGUGAGCAGGAUGGCAGUUCCUGAACACAAGAGCAGAAUGGUGACAGCAGAAGACACCGUAUGGGGCCGGCACUGUGGUGCAGCGGGUUAACGCCCUGGCCUGAAGCACCAGCAUCCUAUACGGGCGCCAGUUCGAGACCCAGCUGCUCCACUUCUGAUCCAGCUCUCUGCUAUGGCGUGGGAAAGCAGUGGAAGAUGGCCCAACUUCUUGAGCCCCUGCAUCCACGUGGGAGUCCCGGAAGAAGCUCCUGGCUCCUGUCUUCAGAUUGGCGCAGCUCCAGCUGUUGUGACCAACUGGGGAGUGAACCAUCGGAUAGAAGACCUCUCCCUCACUCUCUCUUUCUCUCUCUCUCUGCCUCUCCUCUCUCUGUGUGUAAC
This is a non-coding RNA of Oryctolagus cuniculus (rabbit), 677 nucleotides long. The record is from RefSeq and is a predicted model, not a curated record. Lineage: Eukaryota; Metazoa; Chordata; Mammalia; Lagomorpha; Leporidae.